GGGGUGUGUAUGUUCUCAUGGAAGACUGCCGUGACCACAUGUUCCAGAGCAGCCUUUAUAAGGGUCAUCCCAGGUGAGGCUUUGGCUUGAGAGGAAAGGAGAAGGCAAGUGGUGAUCACUAAGCAUCUUAAGGAGGACGUGCAGGGAUGAGACCCAUGGACCACAGCGUGCUGAAAUGUUGUCUCUUCUCUCUACUCUUGCUAACAGUGUCUGCAGCAGACCCUGCAUCCAAUGCAGCCAUUUUAGCUAGUGAAAUGAUUCCAGGCAAUGCAUCCAAUACAGGCCAAGCACCCAAUACAUCCACUAAUACAUCCAACACAGCCAGUACAAACCAACCA
This is a long non-coding RNA of Oncorhynchus tshawytscha (Chinook salmon), 338 nucleotides long. The record is from Ensembl. Lineage: Eukaryota; Metazoa; Chordata; Actinopteri; Salmoniformes; Salmonidae.